AGAACGAACGCUGGCGGCAUGCCUAACACAUGCAAGUCGAACGAGACCUUCGGGUCUAGUGGCGCACGGGUGCGUAACGCGUGGGAAUCUGCCCUUGGGUUCGGAAUAACAGCGAGAAAUUGCUGCUAAUACCGGAUGAUGACGUAAGUCCAAAGAUUUAUCGCCCAAGGAUGAGCCCGCGUAGGAUUAGCUUGUUGGUGAGGUAAGAGCUCACCAAGGCGACGAUCCUUAGCUGGUCUGAGAGGAUGAUCAGCCACACUGGGACUGAGACACGGCCCAGACUCCUACGGGAGGCAGCAGUGGGGAAUAUUGGACAAUGGGCGAAAGCCUGAUCCAGCAAUGCCGCGUGAGUGAUGAAGGCCUUAGGUUGUAAAGCUCUUUACCGGAUGAUAAUGACAGUAACCGGAGAAUAAGCUCCGGCUAACUCCGUGCCAGCCAGCCGC
RNAcentral lists this ribosomal RNA (443 nucleotides) under uncultured soil bacterium. Its description in RNAcentral is "bacterial SSU rRNA". It matches the Rfam family "Bacterial small subunit ribosomal RNA", at positions 26 to 518 of the family's 1533-position model. The record is from RNAcentral.